UACGGAGGGUGCGAGCGUUGUCCGGAAUCAUUGGGCGUAAAGGGCGCGUAGGUGGCCCGGUCAGUUCGUGGUGAAAGCGCGGGGCUCAACCCUGCGUCGGCCAUGAAUACUGCCGCGGCUGGAGCACUGUAGAGGCAGGCGGAAUUCCGGGUGUAGCGGUGGAAUGCGUAGAGAUCCGGAAGAACACCGGUGGCGAAGGCGGCCUGCUGGGCAGUUGCUGACACUGAGACGCGACAGCGUGGGGAGCAAACAGG
This 254-nucleotide ribosomal RNA is filed under the name uncultured bacterium. RNAcentral describes it as "partial 16S ribosomal RNA". It matches the Rfam family "Bacterial small subunit ribosomal RNA", at positions 524 to 776 of the family's 1533-position model. The record is from RNAcentral.